GAUGAACGCUGGCGGCGUGCCUAAUACAUGCAAGUCGAGCGAAUGGAUUAAGAGCUUGCUCUUAUGAAGUUAGCGGCGGACGGGUGAGUAACACGUGAGUAACCUGCCCAUAAGACUGGGAUAACUCCGGGAAACCGGGGCUAAUACCGGAUAACAUUUUGAACCGCAUGGUUCGAACUUGAAAGGCGGCUUCGGCUGUCACUUAUGGAUGGACUCGCGUCGCAUUAGCUAGUUGGUGAGGUAACGGCUCACCAAGGCAACGAUGCGUAGCCGACCUGAGAGGGUGAUCGGCCACACUGGGACUGAGACACGGCCCAGACUCCUACGGGAGGCAGCAGUAGGGAAUCUUCCGCAAUGGACGAAAGUCUGACGGAGCAACGCCGCGUGAGUGAUGAAGGCUUUCGGGUCGUAAAACUCUGUUGUUAGGGAAGAACAAGUGCUAGUUGAAUAAGCUGGCACCUUGACGGUACCUAACCAGAAAGCCACGGCUAACUACGUGCCAGCCGCCGCCGUAA
This 515-nucleotide ribosomal RNA is filed under the name uncultured bacterium. RNAcentral's name for it is "partial 16S ribosomal RNA". It matches the Rfam family "Bacterial small subunit ribosomal RNA", at positions 28 to 523 of the family's 1533-position model. The record is from RNAcentral.